This 253-nucleotide ribosomal RNA is filed under the name uncultured bacterium. Its description in RNAcentral is "partial 16S ribosomal RNA". It matches the Rfam family "Bacterial small subunit ribosomal RNA", at positions 524 to 776 of the family's 1533-position model. The record is from RNAcentral.
UACGGGGGGGGUAAGCGUUGUUCGGAAUUACUGGGCGUAAAGGGCUCGUAGGCGGCCAACUAAGUCAGACGUGAAAUCCCUCGGCUUAACCGGGGAACUGCGUCUGAUACUGGAUGGCUUGAGGUUGGGAGAGGGAUGCGGAAUUCCAGGUGUAGCGGUGAAAUGCGUAGAUAUCUGGAGGAACACCGGUGGCGAAGGCGGCAUCCUGGACCAAUUCUGACGCUGAGGAGCGAAAGCCAGGGGAGCAAACGGG